Molecule: ribosomal RNA, 484 nt
Filed under: uncultured bacterium
Lineage: Bacteria
Description: partial 16S ribosomal RNA
Rfam family: Bacterial small subunit ribosomal RNA
Source: RNAcentral
AUUGAACGCUGGCGGCAUGCUUUACACAUGCAAGUCGAACGGCAGCGCGGGCUUCGGCCUGGCGGCGAGUGGCGAACGGGUGAGUAAUGCAUCGGAACGUGCCCAGCAGUGGGGGAUAGCCCGGCGAAAGCCGGAUUAAUACCGCAUACGACCUGAGGGUGAAAGCGGGGGACCGAAAGGCCUCGCGCUAUUGGAGCGGCCGAUGUCGGAUUAGCUAGUUGGUGGGGUAAAGGCUUACCAAGGCGACCAUCCGUAGCUGGUCUGAGAGGACGACCAGCCACACUGGGACUGGGACACGGCCCAGACUCCUACGGGAGGCAGCAGUGGGGAAUUUUGGACAAUGGGGGCAACCCUGAUCCAGCCAUGCCGCGUGCGGGAAGAAGGCCUUCGGGUUGUAAAGCGCUUUUGUUCGGGAAGAAAUGCUCUGGGCUAAUACCCCGGGGGGAUGACGGUACCGGAAGAAUAAGCACCGGCUAACUACGUG